This 1030-nucleotide long non-coding RNA is filed under the name Marmota monax (woodchuck). Lineage: Eukaryota; Metazoa; Chordata; Mammalia; Rodentia; Sciuridae. The record is from RNAcentral.
GCCACCACCCCAGCCCCUCUCUUUUCUUUUUCACUGUUGAUUAAAAACCCUACAUUCAUUGACAAGAUGGCUAUAAAUUUUACUGUGACAUGAAUAAGAACAAAUACAAUGCAAAUAUUCAUUAAGAAGGGGAGACUGCUGGGCGCUGUGGCCCACACCUUUAAUCUCAGAGACUCGGGAGGCUGAGACAGGAGGAUUGUGUGUUCAAAGCUAGCCUCAGCAAAAAACAAGGCGUAAACAACUCAGUAUAGACCCUGUCUCUAAAUAGAAUACAAAAAAUAGGGCUGGGGAUGUGGCUCAGUGGUCGAGUGCCCCUGAGUUUAAUCCCCUGUACCCCCCCAAAAAAGAAGAGACUAUACAAGUAUAACCUGGGAAUUGGGAACUUAAGUGUUGGUGAUAUAAAAACAGAUUCGACAUUCUGUGGUUUGCACCAUAUGAGGAAUGACAAACUGUUGAGCAACAGCAGUCCAUUUAGUGAAUUCAGAGAAUGGAUGUGUUUUCUUGAUGUAGAGGAACUAAUUACCCAAGAUAAAGCAGAGAUAUAGGACUUUACCAUAUACCCAGUUAAUGCCAUUUGGAUUUGGGUUUAGAUGAAUGAAAAAAUUACACAUUGAAAAAAUAAAAAAGGAGAGUCCAUAAAUGCAAAAAGAAGAAAUGUCAUCUUUUUAAAUAUUAGUAGAAUAAAACUUAGUAGCACAGUAGAAAUGCAAAAUAUGCAAAAUAUAGAAACAGUUCAGUUGAGAUAUUGCCAGUAAAGCAUAUUAUAUAAUGGGGAGAAAAGUAAAAGGAGGACCCCCCAAAAAUUGAGUUUAUAAAGACAUUUCCAUUUAGAAAUGAAAUAACUUUGCAUAAAGUAUGUGUUCACAAGAAGAAAUGCCUUUACAAAGUCUGUGGCUGAAAUACAAUCUUAGUGAGACAGGGUCCCACUAAGUAGUUCAGGCUGGCCUUGGAGUUUUGAUUCUCUUCCUUCACCUCUCUGAGUAGCUAUGUUGUUCAUUCUUUUUCUUUUGGGUACUGGGCAUUGAACUCA